CGUUCCCUGCGAUCCGCGCUCCCUCCCUCCCCAUACUACCCCGUCAAUCACGGGCACCUGCCCUCCUGCUCCAUCACGCACGCCGCCAUCCGUCCUGCCCAUCCAUGUCGCCACACUGCCUCUCCCCCGCCGAGCCAAUGCCCCGCUCCGUCCCGCCCUACCCCACCCUACCCGGCUCUACACACCUACUGUUCACGCACGCCGGUGCUGCUGGAGGUUGGAUGGCUGCGACGUGCCCACAACGGUUGCGGGAGGUGCGGCCUCCGGAUCUAGGCACCACGAUGGAUGACGCCGGUUGCGAGGGCACCACUUGCACAGAGGAUGAGAUCGUAGGGGAGGAGUAUGUCGCAGCCAAGGAAGUCGUGGAAGGGUACCUGCCGCCGCCUGUGAUUGCGGGGAUCUCGCCGCCCCUGCUGAGGACACAUCACUGGCGAGAUUUAAGGACGCCGCCGUUGCAGCGAUAGCGGAGGACAAGACUGCGGCACCUACGAAGGCUCCAGCCAAGGUGAGUUCUGCCUUCUGGGCUCCUAGCUACCUUCACCCGCCUUGAUUCCUCUUCCCUCAAAUUCUUCUAAUCUCCUCAAUUAUUUCUGUCUCAAUCUGAUUGGAUGCGACUUGUGGCAAAGCUCUCAAAUUUGUACGUCUCAUCUAUUUUGUUCUUGUCACAAAGUUUGUGCAAUAAUUCAGCGUUGCUUCCAAUCUAUGAAAGAAAAUGGGAGAACGCUCUGUGGAAUAGGUUUGUUCAGGCUUGGAACAUGUUCGAGAGAAAAAGGAGCUGAUAUCGAAGGCCCAGAGCAGAAAAUAAAGAUUCUUGGCAGGGAAUCCAUCGUUGUCUUUGAUGACUUUGCUCACAAGCUAGAACAGAAGAUAGGAAAAAGGCCUUAACAUUUAGUUCAAAGGUCAUUGUACACUGAUGUAAUUGAAUCAUGCCCACCUCCUGGGAGUGGAAGGACAAAUUCCCACACCAUCAAAAGCCAUCACAAUACUGGUGGCCUUCCAAAAAGUAUGAAGUUAAAACUCAUCGAACCACUCAAGCUCCUAUUCAAAGAUGAGGUGCGGAAGUUGGGUAGUAUUUUGAAUGUCCUAGAUUCAUUUUUUAAGUGACACCCAUUUCCUGGUCUUGUUGUAUGUGUGCUAAGUCAUGUUACACAAGGCAAUGCUGAACUCUAGGAUGGUAGCAACCUAAAAUGUACCUUUUGGAGGUUAUACUGAUUAGUAGAUAGUGGAUUGAUGUCCUAGACUCCCUGUGGUUAGAAGUAGAACAUCUUGUUUACAGUUAACUUCUAUGACAAAGGACUCCAUGGUAUGGAUUUGCCAUUCAUCUGGAGUCUAUUCCGCACAUAUUUCCUUACCAAAUAUGUGAUCAGUAUUAGGGGAGUUCAGCACAUACAUCUUCUUGCCAUUUGCUCCCUAAAAUCCCAUCCAGGGUGCAUUUCUUUCUCUGACUUUUACUUUCUAGGAAGAGAACACAAACUACAGAUAGAAUAAGUAGAUGGAAAAAGGCUAGAGGACUUAACCUGCCUGUACUAAACCUGAAACUUCACGUAUUCUCUGACUGAUGUGUACUAGCUGCACAGAUAUGAGUGGUCCUAUCUGAGAUUACUGAAGUAGAGUUUUCAGUAACUUUGAUGGUUUCGCUAAGUAAUAAUGAGAUUACUAAUGGUGUGAUGUGAACAAAAUUUUGCCUACUAAAUCUUUUCCACAAAGCCCACUGUUUAGUUGGCAGUGUGGUCUCUUUACAGUACAAACUCCCUAGAGGAUUUGACACAGUUGGUUGCAUUGAUAUAACUCAGAUAGUUCUAUGAAAGUUGUUUGUUUGCAGAAUUUGGGGCACUCCAAAUGAAGGAAUUUGACCAGGUGUUGCUUCAUUACCUGAUAACAAAUCAAAUUUUCAAAGUGUCACCCGUGGUAAGUAAAAAACAAGUUCUUUUUAUUAUUGCAUUUAGUGGAAUGAGAUUUGAGUUGUGGGUGUGGAUGAAAACUUUCAAAGUGUUUGAUCUGUUACAGAUAAGUUUGGGAUCUUCUUUUUGCUUGUGUAUGAGGGUAAUUGAACAUUGUAGUGAUUACUAUUUUUGACCAUAACAUGUGGUUCACGCUGUAGGAUCUUGCAACGGUGGUCCCAACACUUAAACCUUUGGGACUCAUAUUUUCCUGCUGCUUCACUGCUAUCUAGGUUAUGUUGCCUUAGUAUCCACCAAAUAUCAAAUUUAAACCCAUGGGUAUAAUUCAUGGGUAUAGUGGAUUAUGUAUUCUAUCGGCAGAGGAUCUAGACAUCCUAUGAUGUUUUUUUCUUCUUUUUUUUGGAAAAAAAGUGAUGCAAAUGCUUCAGAGGCAGGGAAAUAGAUGCAAAGCUUUAUUCAAAACACUAGAGAAGAAAGUUGACCAGAAUUCUACUAUACCAAAAUGCAUUCCAUCCAAAGGUAUGAUGCCUUGCAAUGCUUCCUGCUCUGGCCUCUGGGUGUAUUUUGGUAUGAUGCCUUACGAUGCUCACAGACUGGGUGUAUUUUGGUAUAUUCAAAUGAGCCCAGAACAUUAUAGAACUGGUAUGGAUAGAUGAGAUUUGAUUUAAGAUUAUUUUAUGACAAACAAGCAAUGAAUUGGAAUUAUUAUAAUUGAGAUAUCAAUCUUACAAGUUGGACUGUGUGCUUUAAUGUGUGUCUGUUUCAAAAAAUCUAUUGAUAGCACUUGAAAUUAUCAACCUUUCAAAAAUAUAAAGAUUGUUCUAUUUUUCUUUGUCUGUUUCUUUGAUCUCUUUGCUAAAAUUCCUGCAGGUGAUCUCUAUUCCAAGUUGACUUGAACUACAAUAGCAGGCUUGACGCAUCGAUGAGAGCUGUGCAGUAGCAGGCUCGAUGCAUCUCGUAUCAAGCUCCCCAUAUCUUGAUCUUCAUGCAGGUUCAUUUACUUUCUAAAGAAACCAAAGUCAUGUUCCUAUUCCUGGAGAUCAUGUAAAAUUCACACGCUGCUCAAUCUGUUCAUUCUAACCUUUAUGUUUGUUUGUGGGAUAGAGAGGGUGAUUUACUCAACCUAACAAAGUGACAAUAGUGAAACCUUUCCAUACCACUGAAAGUGUGGUCUUGCAUAAAUAAAUUUUAAGCAAUCAAACAAUACAAAUUGUAGCCAUGUGUAUUUUUAGAAUGCUUGUUGACAAUAUGUGCUGGCGACUGCAUUGCUGUCAAAUAGUUUACACACGAGAACUAAUGUUCGAUGAUUAUUUUGGUCAUGCUCAAAGAGUCAGAUCACAUACCAUUCAACUGGCAAGAAGUCCUACUUGAUGUAACAAGUGAUAGGAGAGGAGAAGAAGAGAAACUUAGGCCUGCAGGCCACUAAGGUGUGGAAGUUGGGGAGUAUUUUGAAUGUCCCAGAUUCAUUAUUGAAGUGGCACCCAUUUCCUGGUCCUGGUCUUGUUGUACUAUCCUAGGUGAUGUUACACAAGGCAAUGCUUUGGAAGUUCUUCGUCAGGUUUGAACUUUUAGAAUUGUUGAAAUUUUGCUACAACACCUUGGAUACACUGUGAAUUGGUAGCAUCUCACUUCAAUUUUUUUCAGGUGAACAAGAUAUUUAUUCGAGCUGUUAAAUGUUAUUUUCCGCUAUUGUGUUAAUUUCAUGAACUUUAUUUUUUGAAUUAAAUGUUAUUUUAAUGUUGGUAUUUAA
This is a long non-coding RNA of Sorghum bicolor (sorghum), 3651 nucleotides long. RefSeq lists it as uncharacterized. The record is from RefSeq and is a predicted model, not a curated record. Lineage: Eukaryota; Viridiplantae; Streptophyta; Magnoliopsida; Poales; Poaceae. The transcript is spliced from 3 exons.